UACGAAGGGGGCUAGCGUUGCUCGGAAUUACUGGGCGUAAAGCGCACGUAGGCGGCUCUUUAAGUCGGGGGUGAAAUCCUGGAGCUCAACUCCAGAACUGCCUUCGAUACUGGAGAGCUUGAGUCCGGGAGAGGUGAGUGGAACUGCGAGUGUAGAGGUGAAAUUCGUAGAUAUUCGCAAGAACACCAGUGGCGAAGGCGGCUCACUGGCCCGUACUGACGCUGAGGUGCGAAAGCGUGGGGAGCAAACAGG
RNAcentral lists this ribosomal RNA (252 nucleotides) under uncultured bacterium. Its description in RNAcentral is "partial 16S ribosomal RNA". It matches the Rfam family "Bacterial small subunit ribosomal RNA", at positions 524 to 776 of the family's 1533-position model. The record is from RNAcentral.